UGAGGAGGGUAAUGAGGCUGAUGUUAGAUCGAAGACAAGGCUUGUUGUUCCAAAUAGCUCCUGUGGUGCUAUAAUUGGAAAAGGAGGAGUCACUAUAAAAUCAUUUAUUGAAGAUUCCGGGGCUGGAAUCAAGAUAUCCCCGCAAGAUCAAAAUAUGGUCGGGUUGAAUGAUAGGCUUGUUACAGUGACUGGAUCUCUUGAUGAACAGAUGCGGGCAAUCGAUUUGAUAUUGUCAAAGUUAUCUGAAGAUGCUUAUUAUCCACAAA
RNAcentral lists this unclassified non-coding RNA (266 nucleotides) under Hevea brasiliensis (rubber tree). Lineage: Eukaryota; Viridiplantae; Streptophyta; Magnoliopsida; Malpighiales; Euphorbiaceae. The record is from RNAcentral.